GACGAACGCUGGCGGCGUGCUUAACACAUGCAAGUCGAACGGAAAGGCCCUGCUUUUGUGGGGUGCUCGAGUGGCGAACGGGUGAGUAACACGUGAGUAACCUGCCCUUGACUUUGGGAUAACUUCAGGAAACUGGGGCUAAUACCGGAUAGGAGCUCCUGCUGCAUGGUGGGGGUUGGAAAGUUUCGGCGGUUGGGGAUGGACUCGGGGCUUAUCAGCUUGUUGGUGGGGUAGUGGCUUACCAAGGCUUUGACGGGUAGUCGGCCUGGGAGGGUGACCGGCCACAUGGGGACUGAGAGACGGACCAGACUCCUACGGGAGGCAGCAGUGGGGAAUAUUGCACAAUGGGCGGAAGCCUGAUGAAGCAACGCCGCGUGCGGGAUGACGGCCUUCGGGUUGUAAACCGCUUUAGCCUGUGACGAAGCGUGAGUGACGGUAAUGGGUAAAGAAGCACCGGCUAACUACGUG
This 468-nucleotide ribosomal RNA is filed under the name uncultured bacterium. RNAcentral's name for it is "partial 16S ribosomal RNA". It matches the Rfam family "Bacterial small subunit ribosomal RNA", at positions 28 to 507 of the family's 1533-position model. The record is from RNAcentral.